UACGUAGGGUGCGAGCGUUGUCCGGAAUUACUGGGCGUAAAGAGCUUGUAGGUGGUUUGUCGCGUUGUUCGUGAAAUCUCACGGCUCAACUGUGAGCGUGCGGGCGAUACGGGCAGACUAGAGUACUGCAGGGGAGACUGGAAUUCCUGGUGUAGCGGUGGAAUGCGCAGAUAUCUGGAGGAACACCGGUGGCGAAGGCGGCAUCCUGGACCAACACUGACGCUGAGGAGCGAAAGCCAGGGGAGCAAACGGG
Molecule: ribosomal RNA, 253 nt
Filed under: uncultured bacterium
Lineage: Bacteria
Description: partial 16S ribosomal RNA
Rfam family: Bacterial small subunit ribosomal RNA
Source: RNAcentral